RNAcentral lists this long non-coding RNA (1036 nucleotides) under Malus domestica (apple). RNAcentral's name for it is "long non-coding RNA (MDOM_LNC010258)". The record is from RNAcentral. Lineage: Eukaryota; Viridiplantae; Streptophyta; Magnoliopsida; Rosales; Rosaceae.
GGCCACGGGAGUAAACUGGGCCGUGGAAGUAGGUUAAGCCACGAGAGUGGGCUGUUCAGCUGGAGCAGGCUGUGCCACAGGAGCAGCGAAAGUGGACUGCUCGGCGGGAGCAGGCUGCUCAGAGUGUGAUGCACAUGGGUGCGAGGCUUGGGCUCGGCUUGGCAACGCAUUGAGUUCACAUUGGGCUUGGAAUGACAUGGCUUAGGCCAUGGCCUUAGUGUGGUGAGCCUUGGAUGGCACAGCUCGAGCCGUGGUGGUGGUACCAUGGACCUCGCCGCAGGUAAUGGUAACCGUGGUAGCCACCGUGGUGAUUGCCAUGGUGGAGCCCCGUAGCGAUGGUGCCGCUCCUAUGAUCACAUUUAGCUUCGUGGAUUGUCGUGGUCCCAUUUCUUGAAUAUUGGAAUUUUCACUUGUGGAAUUUUCUAAAUUUCUAGCCAUUGUAUUUCUCUUUUACAUUUUAUCAAAGAAUCUUUGCAAAUAAAAAAUUCUAAUAAUAAGAACGUACGAAAAAUCUACAAAUGGACAAGAAAAUAGAAAAACCUUUUGAUGCGAGAGUCUUCUACGAGUGUGUGACUCUUCUCUCAAUGAAAGCACCAAUUUGUGGAUGCAAAUUUUUGCUCCUUGAACUUGGACAAAAUUGCACCUACAAAACAAUUAACACCUUAGGUCAAGGCCAAGAGCCUCACGCACCCAUGAUGAAUGGGGGGGGGGGGUUUGGCCGAAGAACCUCUAAUGCCAAAGUUAGAAUUUAGAGAGAAAAAGUGUUUGAGAAUUCUAGAGAAUUUUAGCAAGAGUUCAGAGUCGUUUUUGGGAGAGAAUGGUCAGCAUGGACCGGCCAUUUAGGUAUUUUUUGGGUGUAAAUUAUGGUUAAUUAGCCAUCAAUAGAUUAAUUAGGUAAUAAAUCUAUUAAUUGACUAAUUAACAUAUUUUGAAAAAAAUAUUUGGGGAGUUAUGGAAUGAUUAAGAUAAUUAGCUAAUUGAUUAGCUAAAAAAGGGAAAAUGAGGUAAAAAAAUAUAUGCAAUGAAAUAGGUUUUG